UACAGAGGGGGCAAGCGUUGUCCGGAAUUACUGGGCGUACAGCGCGCGCAGGCGGUCCUGGACGUGCCGUGUGACAUCCGUCGGCUCAACCGACGGAGGCCAGGUACACGACAAGACUGGAGACAGAGAGAGGGAUGUGGAAUAACCCGGUGGAGCGGUGAAAUGCGUAGAGAUAUGGAGGAACACCAGUGGCGAAGGCGACUUUCUGGUCUGUGAACUGACACUGAGGCGCGAAAGAGCCGUGGGGGAGCAAACAGGG
RNAcentral lists this ribosomal RNA (259 nucleotides) under uncultured bacterium. RNAcentral's name for it is "partial 16S ribosomal RNA". It matches the Rfam family "Bacterial small subunit ribosomal RNA", at positions 524 to 777 of the family's 1533-position model. The record is from RNAcentral.